GAGUUUGAUCCUGGCUCAGGAUGAACGCUGGCGGCAUGCCUAAGACAUGCAAGUCGAACGAGGUGGCCCAAAGAAGAUUGAGUGCUUGCACAAGAUUGGACUUGGAUUACCACCUAGUGGCGGACGGGUGAGUAACACGUAGGUGACCUGCCUUUGAGUUUGGGAUAACUAUUAGAAAUGAUAGCUAAUACCGAAUUAAAUGCAGAUUCGUUUCUGUAUUAAAAGGAGCCUUUAAAGCUUCGCUUAAAGAUGGGCCUGCGGCGUAUUAGCUAGUUGGUGAGGUAAUGGCUUACCAAGGCGACGAUGCGUAGCCGAACUGAGAGGUUGAUCGGCCACAUUGGGACUGAGACACGGCCCAAACUCCUACGGGAGACAGCAGUUAGGAAUAUUCGUCAAUGGGGGAAACCCUGAACGAGCAAUGCCGCGUGAACGAUGAAGACCCUAUGGGUUGUAAAGUUCUGUUGCAUGGGACGAACGAUUAGGAUAGGAAAUGAUCUUAAUGUGACGGUACCAUGCCAGAAAGCUCCGGCUAACUACGUGCCAGCAGCCGCGGUAAUUC
RNAcentral lists this ribosomal RNA (559 nucleotides) under uncultured bacterium. RNAcentral describes it as "bacterial SSU rRNA". It matches the Rfam family "Bacterial small subunit ribosomal RNA", at positions 9 to 526 of the family's 1533-position model. The record is from RNAcentral.